This 486-nucleotide ribosomal RNA is filed under the name uncultured bacterium. Its description in RNAcentral is "partial 16S ribosomal RNA". It matches the Rfam family "Bacterial small subunit ribosomal RNA", at positions 30 to 507 of the family's 1533-position model. The record is from RNAcentral.
AUUGAACGCUGGCGGCAUGCCUUACACAUGCAAGUCGAACGGCAGCACGGGUGCUUGCACCUGGUGGCGAGUGGCGAACGGGUGAGUAAUACAUCGGAACAUGUCCUGUAGUGGGGGAUAGCCCGGCGAAAGCCGGAUUAAUACCGCAUACGAUCCACGGAUGAAAGCGGGGGACCUUCGGGCCUCGCGCUAUAGGGUUGGCCGAUGGCUGAUUAGCUAGUUGGUGGGGUAAAGGCCUACCAAGGCGACGAUCAGUAGCUGGUCUGAGAGGACGACCAGCCACACUGGGACUGAGACACGGCCCAGACUCCUACGGGAGGCCGCAGUGGGGAAUUUUGGACAAUGGGCGAAAGCCUGAUCCAGCAAUGCCGCGUGUGUGAAGAAGGCCUUCGGGUUGUAAAGCACUUUUGUCCGGAAAGAAAUCCUUGACUCUAAUACAGUCGGGGGAUGACGGUACCGGAAGAAUAAGCACCGGCUAACUACGUG